GAAUUUUGGACAAUGGGGGCAACCCUGAUCCAGCCAUGCCGCGUGUGUGAAGAAGGCCUUCGGGUUGUAAAGCACUUUCGGACGGAACGAAAUCGCGCGGGUGAAUAUCCCGCGUGGAUGACGGUACCGUAAGAAGAAACAACGGCUAACUACGUGCCAGCAGCCGCGGUAAUACGUAGGGUGCGAGCGUUAAUCGGAAUUACUGGGCGUAAAGUGUGCGCAGGUGGCCUCGCAAGUCGAGUGUGAAAUCCCCGAGCUUAACUUGGGAAUUGCGCUCGAAACUACGGGGCUCGAGUGUGGCAGAGGGAGGUGGAAUUCCACGUGUAGCGGUGAAAUGCGUAGAGAUGUGGAGGAACACCAAUGGCGAAGGCAGCCUCCUGGGCCAACACUGACGCUCAUGCACGAAAGCGUGGGGAGCAAACAGG
This 425-nucleotide ribosomal RNA is filed under the name uncultured bacterium. RNAcentral's name for it is "bacterial SSU rRNA". It matches the Rfam family "Bacterial small subunit ribosomal RNA", at positions 359 to 776 of the family's 1533-position model. The record is from RNAcentral.